CAUAAGCUUGCGCUGAUUACGUCCCUGCCCUUUGUACACACCGCCCGUCGCUACUACCGAUUGAAUGGUUUAGCAAGGUCAUCGGAUUGGCGCCAUUAUGGUUGCUCGCCAGCCUGUUGGUGCUGAAAAGACGACCGAGCUUGAUCAUUUAGAGGAAGUAAAAGUCGUAACAAGGUUUCCGUAGGUGAACCUUCGGAAGGAUCA
RNAcentral lists this ribosomal RNA (204 nucleotides) under Helicometra manteri. Its description in RNAcentral is "partial 18S ribosomal RNA". It matches the Rfam family "Eukaryotic small subunit ribosomal RNA", at positions 1629 to 1828 of the family's 1831-position model. The record is from RNAcentral. Lineage: Eukaryota; Metazoa; Platyhelminthes; Trematoda; Plagiorchiida; Opecoelidae.